This is an RNA transcript of Panicum virgatum (switchgrass), 1700 nucleotides long. It is a transcript of the gene named probable E3 ubiquitin-protein ligase BAH1-like 1, with no coding region annotated. The record is from RefSeq and is a predicted model, not a curated record. The transcript is spliced from 6 exons. Lineage: Eukaryota; Viridiplantae; Streptophyta; Magnoliopsida; Poales; Poaceae.
CGCCAUCCGGAGCCUUCCUUUCCUUUCCCGUCUCCUCCGAUCGAUCCUAUAAAGCCCGUCGUCCGUCGCCUCUUGCAAAAAUCUCUCUGCUCUGGUUAAGCUACUAUAUACCGUUCUCCUCCUUCUGGCUUGGGUUUCCAUGACCGAGCCGCGCGAGCCCGUGACCUCUUUUUCCUCGAGCCUCGCUCGCCGACUCCUGGCCGCAAUCUCUGUAUCUUGGCAUGCAUUCUGCGUUCCUGCUCGUGCUCGACCUCAAUCCUAUCCAACGCAGCACUGCAGCGAUCCCAGUUCCCAUCGCCGAAUCCGCGUCCCACUCAUCCUCAACCUCAACCACUCCGAAUUCAAUUCGGAGCCUUUCUCGAUUCGCUACCCUUAUUUGAUCAUCCCAUGACCACGAGACUCCUGUGAUUCCCCCCACGCAGACCUCGCUGGACAAUUGCCAGAGCCCCCUUGCUCAGCCCCAUCCAGGCCAGCCAUGAAGUUUACCAAGAAGUACGCGACGUACAUGAGGGGGAUGGAGGCGGAGCUCCCGGCCGUGGGGCUCAAGCGCCUCAAGAAGAUGCUCAAGAAAUGCCGCUCCGACUCCGACCACCGCUCGCACCUGCAGGAUGCCGCUGCCUCACCCGCCGCCGGACGGUGCCCCGGGCAUUGCUCUGUAUGUGAUGGGAGUUUCUUUCCAUCUCUUCUGAAUGAGAUGUCGGUCGUUGUCGGCUGCUUCAACGAAAAAGCCAAGAAGCUGCUGGAACUGCACUUGGCGACAGGCUUCAAGAAAUACACCAUGUGGUUCACCAACAAGGGUGACAAUAGCCAUGGGAGAUUAAUGCAGCAAGGCAAAGACUUGGUUACGUAUGCAAUUAUAAAUGCCGUGGCCAUGAGGAAGAUCUUAAAGAAGUAUGACAAGAUACAUUACUCAAAGCAAGGACAAGAAUUCAAAGCCCAAGCUCAGAUUUUGCACAUUGAGAUACUUCAAUCCCCAUGGCUCUGUGAGCUGAUGGCAUUCUAAAUGAACUUGAGAAGGAGCAAGAAGAAUAAGGCUGCAAUGGAGCUCUUUGGCGACUGUUCCCUCAUAUUCGAUGACGAGAGACCAACGCUCUCAUGCAACCUCUUUGACUCUAUGCGUGUCGACAUUAGCUUGACAUGUUCCAUUUGCUUGGACACAGUGUUUGAUCCAGUCUCUCUUUCCUGUGGUCACAUACUUUGCUACUUGUGCUGCUGUUCUACUGCAUCUGUGACCAUUGUUGAUGGGCUGAAGUCCGCAGAUCACAAAUCAAAAUGUCCCCUGUGUCGACAGCAAGGGGUCUUUCCUGAUGCUGUGCACCUCGAUGAACUCAACAUGCUACUGAGCCACAGUUGUCCAGAGUACUGGGAGAAGAGAAUGCAAUCAGAGCGAGUUGAGCGGGUUCGCCUAGCUAAGGAGCAUUGGGAGUCACAGUGCAGAGCAUUCUUGGGCAUCUAGAUAGUGAGCUUCUACCAGUGGAAACUGGAAAUUUGAUUCGAUUUGUUAAGAUUGUUUGUUGGUAGAUCCUGCUCUAUCACAACUCUUUUGAUAAUAAAGUUGGAUCUACCGUCUGUUGAUAGAAUUUACAUGUAAGAGGUUAGCUUGGCUGCAGAAAUAGAACAACUGUAGUGGCUAUUCAAGUGCAAUUGCAUAUGUGUUUAUAUGUAACACCCUUGAUUCACCUUUGUGAUUUUAUCCUAAA